UUCCGGGAGAUACAGCAAAUUGAGAGGGAAAACAGUAGAAAAGCAGAUCUACAGGAUGUGAGGGGGAAAUAAGACAAAGAGCAAAGGACAGAGAGAGACACUGUCUUUGUUGAAUUUAAGUGCAUGGUGGUGAGACAUUUUUAUUAUUAUUUUGAGAGUAUGUUAAAGGAACAGUCAUUCUUUUAAAACCUCUGUCUUACAAGUGUAGCAGGAUGGGCCUUUAAUUAGUGCUGCAGUACCGGCCUAUCACGGUUGGUUGCGCUGCCUAUAAAGGCGAGUGGUUGUGCACUGGGAGCCCUCUUGCCUUGGAGCUACAGACUGCCCCGCCUCCUGUGAUCACCGCACCUGGCCGCCUCACCUGAUCGCCUUUUCAGCUGGGUCGUGCAGCUCGCCGUUGUUUGGCAGUUCAUUGGCCGGGUCUUCCUUCUCCCGUAUCGGCCCCAAUUGUAGGGCAUGCGAGUGUUUUCCUCCUCUGCCGGUUGCAGCGGGGAGCGAUCAGCUGAUCGAUCGCGUUGCACGUAAUUGUGCUGCUCGACGCAAGUGAUCCCUUUCCUCCCCUUUGAUGUUCAUUCAACUCCUGACGGGUUGACGUGUGUGUGGGCGGUUUCUGCCAGCACGUUUCCCCCCCUCUUCACGCUGCUGUUUGCCGGCUGCUGUUUUGCCCACUGGCUUAUAUAGCCAACACAUCCAUCCUACUCUGCAUCUCCUACUGUGCUGUACCUGCCACCGAGUAUGGUGACUGCUGCCUCAUCCUCAGUCUCAUUUUAAUCUAUUCAGUUAACCGACUUCUAACUGAUCUUAUUGAUGAUAUUAUUUGUGUUUUGUGGUUUGCUUUGCAUGUUUUUGGUUUAAUUCGUUUUCAGUGUCAUCUUUAUCUAUUCAGUUAACCGACUUUUAACUGAUCUCAUUGAUGAUAUUAUUUGUGGUUUACUUUGCAUGUUUUUGGGUU
Molecule: long non-coding RNA, 949 nt
Organism: Platichthys flesus (European flounder)
Lineage: Eukaryota; Metazoa; Chordata; Actinopteri; Pleuronectiformes; Pleuronectidae
Exons: 3
Source: RefSeq, a predicted model, not a curated record